This 282-nucleotide unclassified non-coding RNA is filed under the name Hevea brasiliensis (rubber tree). Lineage: Eukaryota; Viridiplantae; Streptophyta; Magnoliopsida; Malpighiales; Euphorbiaceae. The record is from RNAcentral.
UGCACGCCUUCUUUUCGGAAUCGGUAUCGCUGUCGUGAAGCAGAGUCAUAUCCGUAUCAUACCAAGGUUCGAUUAUUCGGCAGCGGUCGCCAGCGGCGGCGCGUGCCGGAUCUGGCCCGGUUGCGCGGGCGCCGGGACCACGCCCCCACCCCNGACUCUUCCUGAACCAUAGCGCAUAGAGGCCGGGCAGGAACAGCAGGGUCAGGAAUGUUGCAACGAACAAUCCACCCAUGAUGGUGAUGGCCAUCGGCCCCCAGAAGGCCGACCGGGACAGCGGGAUCA